Pseudophryne corroboree (corroboree frog) is the source of this 1148-nucleotide long non-coding RNA. RefSeq lists it as uncharacterized. The transcript is spliced from 4 exons. Lineage: Eukaryota; Metazoa; Chordata; Amphibia; Anura; Myobatrachidae. The record is from RefSeq and is a predicted model, not a curated record.
CGCCACGGAAUUCAGAGGAAUGUUUUCGGAACCGAAAACAGUUCCAUUCCCUGAACGUUCAGGCGGUCUGUGAUGUAAACAUGAGAUUUUUGAACAUUUUUGUGGGAUUUCCUGGAUCAUCUCACGACUCCUUCAUCCUAAGCCAGUCAUCGCUGUUUGACAAGUUCGAAACAGGAAACAUGCCUGGUGGCUGGCUGUUAGGCGAUGCGGGUUAUCCAAACAAACCGUGGCUGUUGACCCCAUUGUCUAAUCCUGUUGGUAGAGCAGAAAAACGUUACCAAGAGACACACAUUGCAUCGAGGCAAAUAAUUGAACGUGCCUUCGGUGUACUUAAAAGCCGGUUUCGAUGUUUAGACACUUCCGGCGGUGCUCUUUUGUACUCACCGUCGAAGGUUUGCGGCAUGGUAAAUGCAUGUUGUAUUUUACACAACAUAUGUGUCGCAAACCGUUUGCCGGUGACUCUUCGUCGCAGUGCUUUCCGACGCGGGAACCGGUCUUCUGCUCUACCGGUGGGUAUGGACGAAGGAGAGGAUUCCCGGCGGACAUUGAUCCAAAAUUAUUUUGCAGUUGCCUAGUUUUACAUCCUGUUGAUGUAUAUCCCCAGGCCAUGUUUGUACAGUUCGUUACCCCGUUUUAUCCUGUUGUUGGGUUACCGCAAAUAUUUGAUCCUUUUAUCCAACUCUACCAUGGGUGACCCUACUGGUGAUGUGGACCUGACCCUCCGCCAUGUAGCAGACAACCCCCCCUCAGGUCCUGCGAUGUAUCUUCCCAAGUGGCGUGGAUGUGAGGAGACACGACAUUUCACCUGAUGUUCCAUGGGUGACCCUACUGGUGAUGUGGACCUGACCCUCCGCCAUGUAGCAGACAACCCCCCUCAGGUGAGAUGUAUUGCCCAAGACUCCCUUGUCCAAAAUCACCCCGGCAUGUCCAAAGUGCAGCCCUCCAGCAUUUGCAAGACUGCACAUCCAAACAUUCCCUGAAACAGCAAUGCUAGGGAAUGUUUGGAUGUGUAGUGAUGCAAGUGCAGGAGGGUUGCAUUUGGGCCGCUGCAACCCGCUUGUGUUGUGUGGACUGUUGUAUGUACCUCUUUUUCCAGUCCCAGGGUGACACUAUCACCCAUAUCUGGAAGCUCAAACUGUUCUCUUCCA